GAUCAUGGCUCAGGAUGAACGCUAGCUACAGGCUUAACACAUGCAAGUCGAGGGGCAGCAUGAUCGAAGCUUGCUUUGAUUGAUGGCGACCGGCGCACGGGUGAGUAACGCGUAUCCAACCUUCCCUGUAGUAGAGGAUAGCCCGGCGAAAGUCGGAUUAAUACUCUAUGUUGUAUUUCGAUGACAUCUGAAGAAUACCAAAGGUUUACCGCUAUAGGAUGGGGAUGCGUCUGAUUAGGUUGUUGGCGGGGUAACGGCCCACCAAGCCCACGAUCAGUAGGGGUUCUGAGAGGAAGGUCCCCCACAUUGGAACUGAGACACGGUCCAAACUCCUACGGGAGGCAGCAGUGAGGAAUAUUGGUCAAUGGACGUAAGUCUGAACCAGCCAAGUAGCGUGCAGGAUGACGGCCCUAUGGGUUGUAAACUGCUUUUAUAUAGGGAUAAAGUUCACCACGUGUGGUGUUUUGUAGGUACCGUAUGAAUAAGGACCGGCUAAUUCCGUGCCAGCAGCCGC
Molecule: ribosomal RNA, 514 nt
Filed under: uncultured bacterium
Lineage: Bacteria
Description: bacterial SSU rRNA
Rfam family: Bacterial small subunit ribosomal RNA
Source: RNAcentral